Molecule: ribosomal RNA, 305 nt
Filed under: uncultured bacterium
Lineage: Bacteria
Description: bacterial SSU rRNA
Rfam family: Bacterial small subunit ribosomal RNA
Source: RNAcentral
GGCCUACGGGACGCAGCAGUGAGGAAUAUUGGUCAAUGGGCGGGAGCCUGAACCAGCCAAGCCGCGUGAGGGAAGAAGGUACAGCGUAUCGUAAACCUCUUUUGUCAGGGAACAAAGGCGGGGACUAGUCCCCGGAUGAGGGUACCUGAAGAAAAAGCAUCGGCUAACUACGUGCCAGCAGCCGCGGUAAUACGUAGGGGGCAAGCGUUAUCCGGAUUUACUGGGUGUAAAGGGAGCGUAGACGGCAGUGCAAGUCCGGAGUGAAAGCCCGGGGCUCAACCCUGGGACUGCUCUGGAAACUGUAA